RNAcentral lists this transfer RNA (77 nucleotides) under Shigella sonnei. RNAcentral describes it as "tRNA-Arg". It matches the Rfam family "tRNA". Rfam says of the family: Transfer RNA (tRNA) molecules are approximately 80 nucleotides in length. Their secondary structure includes four short double-helical elements and three loops (D, anti-codon, and T loops). The record is from RNAcentral. Lineage: Bacteria; Pseudomonadati; Pseudomonadota; Gammaproteobacteria; Enterobacterales; Enterobacteriaceae.
GCGCCCUUAGCUCAGUUGGAUAGAGCAACGACCUUCUAAGUCGUGGGCCGCAGGUUCGAAUCCAGCAGGGCGCGCCA